CAGAUCUGAUGUCCCAAGAUCAAAAACUGAAACGUUGCUGAAAAUAUUUCAAAAGGCAAAGCUACACAUUGAAAAAGCAUUGCCUAUGGAGGGCAGUAGUGAGCUGAGGAGCUUCUUCACCAGAGGAUCUGCUGAUCUGGAAGCUGAACUCUGCAAACACAGGGAGCUAGGUGCCUCGGUGGGAACAUGCCUCAGUGUGACUGACUUUGGCCAAUGUCCUCCUGUACAAGGUAACAGCAGUUUUUGGAAUGUGUGCACAAUGUAUUUUCAAAGUAUAAUGGAACCAAUUACAUUUCAGAAGUGAUUUAAAU
Molecule: long non-coding RNA, 311 nt
Filed under: Scleropages formosus (Asian bonytongue)
Lineage: Eukaryota; Metazoa; Chordata; Actinopteri; Osteoglossiformes; Osteoglossidae
Description: lncRNA (ENSSFOG00015029055.1)
Source: RNAcentral